CUCAGCCCAAAAUCUCCUCAAGCUGAUAAGCAACUUCAGCAAAAUCUCAGAAUACAAAAUCAAUGUACAAAAUUACAUUAAUUAGUGUGUCAGGGCCUCAUCUAAAUCAUUUAAUGUUUCUCUUAAGUUGAAAAUAAUUUCAGUUCUGGCAUGAUAAGAUCUUCUUGCAUGUACAUGUCUAUGUGUGCAAAAUAUUUUAAGUGACUAAAUCCUUUAGGAAACAAAGUUGAAUAUGACGAAAUAGAGACAUAGCACUGUGGUUUGAAUGUAUUUUCCUUCAAAAACUUAUGUUGAAAUUUUAUUGCCAUUGUUAGAGUAUUAAGAGGUGGAAUUUUAGAGAGGUAAUUAGGCCAUGAGGCCUCCACCCUCAUGGGUAGGAUUAAUGACAUUAUAAAAAGGGAAGUUUGGCCCCAUUUUGCCUCUUUGCCUAUCUGCCUUCUGCCAUGUGAUGAUGCAGCAAGAAGGCCCUGACCAGAUGCUGAUGCCUUGAUUCUGGACUUCCCAGUCCCCAGAACUUUGAGAAAAUAACUUUCAGUUCUUUACAAAUUACCCAGUCUCAUGUGUUCUGUUGUAAAUGCACAACAUGGACUAAGACAUAUAGACACACAGAUAGGCAGAUAUAACACGCAUUUUAUUAGCAUAAAAUAUUCUUUGGAAAAGCAUUCGACUCCCCAGAAGGAUAAAAGCUUGCAUAUAACUCUAAUAUGUUGCAACAUAUCCUGAGGAAUAAAUAGAAGUUCAUUGCAUUGGACCAGAGUUUAGAAAGCAAAAACAUAGGCCAGGCGUGGUGGCUCAUGCCUGUAAUCCCAGCACUUUGGGAGGCUGAGGUGGAUGGAUCAUGAGGUCAGGAGUUCAAGAUCAGCCUGGCCAAGAUGGUGAAAUCCUGCCUCUACUAAAAAUACAAAAAAUUAGCCAGCCUGGUGUUGGGCGCCUGUAAUCCCAGCUACUCGGGAGGCUGAGGCAGAGAAUUGCUUGAACCAGGGAGGUGGAGGUUGCAGUGAGCUGAGAUCGUGAAACUGCAUUCCAGCCUGGGUGACAGAGCAAAACUCCAUCUCAAAAAAGAAAGAAAGGAAGGAAGGAAGGAAGGAAGGAAAGAAAGAAAAUAACAUAUAUUCUUUAAUUCUCAAAUAUUGUACAUAGCUCCAAAAUAUUAUUAUACAAAAUAAAUUUUUAGACUAUAUCAAGGGCUCCAUACUAAUAAUCAACAAUAAGAUCAUCUGUGUUUGAAUACCUUAUCUUUUACAAGAAAUUAUUUCUAUAAUUCUUCUUUAUUAAAAUGAUUAAUCACAAGUACUAAGGUAGUUUGAAUACCUUAUCUUUUACAAGAAAUUAUUUAUAUAAUUCUUUAUUAAAAUGAUUAAUCACAAGUACUAAGAAUACACAUAGAAAAAUUGGUCAUUCGCCUUUUAUUAUGCUGCCUCUGUUUUAUGUCAGCCAUGUACCCAGUUGUUGGCAUUAACUGAUGCAAGACAGUAGGUCUCGGUUCAAACAGUCUCAGUGCUAACCUUUCAAUACAAAUAUUUUCUCACACCUUCUUUAUCUUAAAAUGAGAAUUGCCUACUCAUUUAUUCAGAAAAAAUUGAUAUAAUGCUUUAACUGUAAUGCAAAGGAUAAAAUAAUGUGAUUUUUAAUACUACAAUAUAGGGUUCAAUACGUAAAUGUUCAGUCUCAACUAACCUAGAGACGUACUCAAGUAACUAAAUUGUUAUGCUAUUUUAAAAUGAAUAAAUUCAAAUUUAAGAGAAGUUAGAAGAUGAGAAGCCAUUCCAUACAAGCAAACUUGUAACUUAAAGCAAAACUAUUGUUAAGAUAAGUGAUAAUGGGUGGGUAGCAAUUUUUAUUAUACAUAAUUUUCUGUACAAAUGUCUAGGAGGAUAUUAGAAUGUCUUGCAGAACUCUCAAAAAUUCUUCCUUAUGAAGGAUUAUUUUGUGUAUGACUUUUAGCAUCUUUCACCUUCCCCUACCCUUGCUUACUAAUGCCUGUAAUUCUAUCAAAUCAUCAAAACAGUUUUUUUAAAAAAAGAAAAGCUUCUUCAAAUUUCUGAAAGGGUUAUUCUGCUUUUGCUGAGAUUCAUUGAUCUAAACUAGUCAAGGUUAAUUUAAUCCCUUAUAAAGGGGAAUUAAAUCAAGCAUCCCAGUCUAAAUCCAUGGGUAUGUGAAUUCUCAUGCCACAAGGAUGAUGGUGCUGAGUCAGUGCUAUCUUCAGAAUUUUGUUAGCCUGCUCUCUCUUCUUCUGAUUGGCCAGUAUAUGUAGCCUGGAACAAAUGCAGACAGUUUGCUAUCAUUAAUGAAGGCAUUCUAAAUUUGAAGCACAUUCACAUGAUAACAGAUUAAAAAAUAUUGCAAAAAAACCAGAUAUAAAGUCAAAUAUGCCUGAUCUACCCUACCUAUAAUAAUCUUGAUUCUUGAGAAAAAAAUUCUUUAUCAUUUAAACUUGUUGGAGUUUGGUUUUCAGUCAUUUUCAGUCAUCCUCACUGAUACUGAAAAUAUUAUUUUACAGUCCAAAAUCAUGGUUAUUAACCAAGUUCAGAUCACAUUAAUGAUUUUUGGGUAAACUUCCGAGCUCAUAAUUGUCUACAUCAUCAUCUUAUUGUUAUCAACCCCUUAUAUCUAAAGAACAAUCUAUUCUUCUUAUCAGUUAUUCUUACCAUAUUAAUUUGAUGUGCCUUUUCCCAUUUUAUACUAAAUUAAAGUUGUUGGUAAAGUUUAGUGUUAAUUCUUUAUUAACAAAUGCUGUCAUUCUGGUAGUAAUAGCGUAUUAUAGCUUCAUAGUGCUUUAUAGGUUAUAGAUCACUUGAAUAUGCAGUAGCUCAUUUAAACUUCAUAAAUUUUAUAUGUGGUAUCAUCUAAUUAUUAGUAACUAGAAACAGGGUCAUAAAAGUUAAUUUUCUGGAUCAAUGUCACACUGCUGGAUAAGAAGCAAUUCUCCUGAUUCUGAGUUCUGUAAUCUUUCCACAGUUGCUCCACUGAGUCUGCUGUUCCUGUAGCUUUUUCCCCUAAUGUGUUCCCUAAAGGGUAUUAAAACCUGCUUGAUAUUUCAUGCCCCUCUUCCAGAGAUCUUUUAAGUGAGCUGAUUGGCUUUAACAACAUUUCUUUCCCCAUUAUCUUUAGUAAUCCAUCUAUAUUGUUCUAUCAUGCUACUUUUGCCUUCCAUCUGAGGGAAAGAGCUUACACAGAAGAUUUGCACUAAGAUAUGUGGAAAAACAAGAUGCCUAGUGAGCUAUUCCUUAUUGAUCAACUUUUUUUCUUAUAAUCAUAAUUUCUCCAUCAGUAAUAUAAUUUUAGCACUUCAUAUUCUACUUCUUUUUCAACACAUGAAACACCUCCUAACAGAAGUAGAUGAUAUGGAUAUUUAAUGUUUGGCAAAAGAAGAAAUAAGCAAUAAACAAAAAGGCAAAUCUAUUCCCAUGACUCAGUUUUUUAAGCUCCAGAUUAAAAAGGUUAAACUACAUUAUUUUAUAGCAAUGUCAUAGGUCUCUGGGGAAGACCAAUGGCUGUGAUAAAGUAUUAUGUUUCUGAAGUUUGGAAAUAUAUUUAGGCCAACCAAUAAUGCAAUAAUAAAAAGUGAAAAUAAAGACAUCUAAAAUCUAUUCUUUUUUUUUUUUUUUUUUUUUUUUUUGAGACAGUCUCACUCUGUCGCCCAGGCUGGAGUACAGUGGUGCGAACUUGGGUCACUGCAACCUCCACCUCCGGGAUUCAAGCGAUUCUCCUACCUCAGCCUCCUGAGUAGCUGGGAUUACAGGCACCCACCACCAUGCCCAGCUAAUUUUUGUAUUUUUAGUAGAGACUAGGGUUCUUCCAUGUUGGCCAGGCUAGUCUCGAACUCCUGACCUCAGGUGAUCUGCCCACCUCGGCUUCCUAAGGUGCUGGGAUUGCAGACAUGAGCCACUGUGCCUGCCCUCAAAAUAUUCUUAAUUAAAGGAAGGUCUGCUCUGGUCCAGCAUCACCUGUACCUCUGACUAGCUGUUUCAGACCACCCAAUUCUGGGAUAAC
Molecule: long non-coding RNA, 3993 nt
Filed under: Homo sapiens (human)
Lineage: Eukaryota; Metazoa; Chordata; Mammalia; Primates; Hominidae
Description: HSALNT0107471
Source: RNAcentral